UACGAAGGGGGCUAGCGUUGUUCGGAAUUACUGGGCGUAAAGCGCGCGUAGGCGGCUUUGUAAGUUAGAGGUGAAAGCCCGGGGCUCAACCCCGGAAUUGCCUUUAAGACUGCAUCGCUUGAAUCCGGGAGAGGUGAGUGGAAUUCCGAGUGUAGAGGUGAAAUUCGUAGAUAUUCGGAAGAACACCAGUGGCGAAGGCGGCUCACUGGACCGGCAUUGACGCUGAGGAGCGAAAGCGUGGGAGCAAACAGG
RNAcentral lists this ribosomal RNA (252 nucleotides) under uncultured bacterium. RNAcentral's name for it is "partial 16S ribosomal RNA". It matches the Rfam family "Bacterial small subunit ribosomal RNA", at positions 524 to 776 of the family's 1533-position model. The record is from RNAcentral.